CCUCUGACCGCGGUGGGGGUAAAAGGGCCUGGAGGAUUCCGUGCUAAGCACAGACCAGGCACCUGCGUCCCCACCUCUCUGAGCCUCAGUUUCCUUGUCUGCACAAAUGUCUGUAUGAGACGCCUGGCCCUGUCCGCUACCAGGUUGGGGAAGGUUUGCUCGGAGCUCCCCGGACUCAUCUCCUCCCGGGGACGGGCACCGGGACGCGCAGCAGUGGAACCCAGCUCCAGGGCUUGCUGGAGACGACACUGAGGGAAGCCGGGGUGCCCACGCCUGGCCCGGCAGCAGCAGAUGCACUCGGACCACGCCAGAUUCACGAGCAAUUCCAUCAGUGUGGCAUCAUGCCACAGCCCCGUGAGCGACCCACAGCCUGUGCCCCUCGGCCCCGGCCCUGAUUUCCCCACCUCGUCCCGAUCCCAGCAAGAUCCCAAACGCACCAUCCGAAAACCGGUUGCUCCUAACCUGUGUGUCCCCCAGCUACGCUGCCACUCUCUGCUCACUGGAAAAAUACACUGAUCAGGAAAUGUCUCUGCAGUGGCAUCUCCACUCCCCACCGCCUGGUUUCUCUUCUGCAUCCCUCAGAGUGAGGCCUCAACCCUCCCUGAGCCUCGGCCGCCCGUCCAGCCAUGCACUCUCUCUGGGGCCCUGUCCUGCUCAGCUUCCCCACACCUC
Microcebus murinus (gray mouse lemur) is the source of this 672-nucleotide non-coding RNA. NCBI's taxonomy places the organism in Eukaryota, Metazoa, Chordata, Mammalia, Primates, Cheirogaleidae. The record is from RefSeq and is a predicted model, not a curated record.